This 352-nucleotide ribosomal RNA is filed under the name Nanos dubitatus. RNAcentral's name for it is "partial 16S ribosomal RNA". Lineage: Eukaryota; Metazoa; Arthropoda; Insecta; Coleoptera; Scarabaeidae. The record is from RNAcentral.
ACCUGCCCUAUGAUUAAAAAUUUAAUGGCUGCGGUAUUUUGACCGUGCAAAGGUAGCAUAAUAAUUAGUUUUUUAAUUGGGAACUGGUAUGAAAGGUCGAACGAGAGAGAGACUGUCUCAAUUUAAUUUAAAUUAGAAUUUUAUUUUUAAGUAAAAAAGCUUAAAUGUGUUUAAAAGACGAGAAGACCCUAUAGAGUUUUAUAUUAAGAUAAUUAUAUAGGAAAUUAAAGAAUUAUUUUUUUUAUAAUUAUUAAAAUAUUUGGUUGGGGCGAUUAAAAAAUUUAAUAAACUUUUUUUAAAUUAUAACAUUGAUUUAUGAAUAAGUGAUCCAUAUUUAAUGAUUAUAAGAUUA